AUACAGCCAAGCAGAAUUAUCCAGCCCAAACAAAAAAACUGUAGUCCCUAAUAAAUGUGCAUGUGUUGUGGUUACCUUGGAGACUGGCACACAUCUGGACGCACAAAUGUUUGGUCAGUGAGAAUGGGGAGAUCUCCCAAGGGCCUGCCUUUCCCUGAGGAUAUGAACAAGCCACUGACAGUUACUGGGAGGAAGAGAACUUUCUUCUGUGGCACUGCUGUUCUUUACAUUGCCAGCACACCACAGGUGACCUAUGCCAACUUACUUCUCCAUCUUCUGAAGGAACUUUAAAACCUAACUACUCAUGUUUAUGGCACCAAGUGCAGUUGAUGCGCCAAACUCUGAUUGACAGAAAGAUGCUACAUAGGACAAAUUCAAGGACAUCAUCAGUGUCCCCCAAAUGCGCGUGUGUUGAGGGCUUAUCUUCCUGUGCACAGGAAGAAAUUUGAAGACAGAAAACUGAAAACCAAGACACCCUGCUGAGCCACAAGUC
Mastomys coucha (southern multimammate mouse) is the source of this 493-nucleotide long non-coding RNA. RefSeq lists it as uncharacterized. Lineage: Eukaryota; Metazoa; Chordata; Mammalia; Rodentia; Muridae. The record is from RefSeq and is a predicted model, not a curated record. The transcript is spliced from 4 exons.